This is a non-coding RNA of Podarcis lilfordi (Lilford's wall lizard), 75 nucleotides long. The record is from the annotation of a GenBank genome assembly. Lineage: Eukaryota; Metazoa; Chordata; Lepidosauria; Squamata; Lacertidae.
GAAGCUGUAGCUGAGUGGUAGAGCAUCUGCUUUGCAUGCAGAAGGCCCCAGGUUCUAUCCUCAGUGGUAACUCCA